Alexandromys fortis (reed vole) is the source of this 1036-nucleotide long non-coding RNA. RefSeq lists it as uncharacterized. The record is from RefSeq and is a predicted model, not a curated record. NCBI's taxonomy places the organism in Eukaryota, Metazoa, Chordata, Mammalia, Rodentia, Cricetidae. The transcript is spliced from 2 exons.
UUAUUCUCUUUAUUAUUAGUUCCAGUUCUUCUCUGACUGUGGUUUAUUCACUAAAGCAGCUGCACCAUGGAAGUGUGUGCACACAGGGAAACGUGGAGUGUAGACAGGGUCAGUGCCCUGCUGUAUUUGGUCUCCACAGGGGUCUCUUCCCAUGGAGAAGGGGUCCACUGUGCUGAGACAAGGACCUAGGUCCACGCGGACAAUUUCAAGAUUAUGGAAUGAAGAUCCAUGUAAAACACAAGCACAGGGGCUGCGGAGAUGGCUCAGAGGUCAAGCACACCGCCUGUUCCUCCAGAGGACCUGGAGCACCCACAUGGCAGUUUACAACUGUCUGUAACCCCAGUUCCAGGGGAUCUGAUACCUUCACACCAAUUCACAUAAAAAAAAAAAAAUCACAAGCACCUAGAGCCACAGAUGAUCAUCUGGGAAGAAACACUAGGAGUCUGAGUGUAAGCACAGGCUGUGAAGACACGAUCCUGAGUGAAGAGGCAAAGUCUCUGUUUACAGAAGAGACGUUUCUUCUAGAAGAUCCAGGGUCUGACUAUUGACGAGAAGAAGAAAGCAGAAGGUGGAGGAGAGAAUGAAAUCAGUCUGACCUGCAGGUCUCUCCUAGGUUUUGGUUUGUUUCUGUUUAUUUAAGACAAGUUCUGUCUCCACAGCUCUGGUUGUCCUUGAUCUGACAGAACCCCCGCUGCCUUUGCAUCCCUCGUCCUGGGAUUAGAGGCUGUGUCACGACACUUGGCUUUAGUUAGUUUUCUAUGGCUGUGAAAAGACACUGUGACUCCAGAAACUUAUAAAAGGAUUUGUUUCAUUUGAGUUUAAGUUUUCAGAUGGGUUUGAGUCCAUGAUGGCAGAAGAAGGGGUGCUGGCAGGAACAGCCGAGAGCUCACAUCUUUAACCACAGGCAAGUGUCAGAGACACUGGGAAUAGUGGCAGUCUUUAAAACCUCCAUGUCCAACCCCAGAGACACACUUCCUCCAACAGGGCCAUACUUCCUGAUCCUUUCCAAACAGUUCCAUCAGCUGGAGCUGAAGUA